Molecule: small nuclear RNA, 162 nt
Filed under: Marchantia polymorpha subsp. ruderalis
Lineage: Eukaryota; Viridiplantae; Streptophyta; Marchantiopsida; Marchantiales; Marchantiaceae
Description: U1 spliceosomal RNA
Rfam family: U1 spliceosomal RNA
About the family: U1 is a small nuclear RNA (snRNA) component of the spliceosome (involved in pre-mRNA splicing). Its 5' end forms complementary base pairs with the 5' splice junction, thus defining the 5' donor site of an intron. There are significant differences in sequence and secondary structure between metazoan and yeast U1 snRNAs, the latter being much longer (568 nucleotides as compared to 164 nucleotides in human).
Source: Rfam by way of RNAcentral
AUACUUACCUGGGUAGGGCCGAUUGCUGAUCACGGAGGGCAAUGACAUAGUAUGAACUUAACCAUUGCACCCCGUUGGUUUGGAAAAUUCUAGCACUUCCCCAACGGGAAUUGCACGUCAUAUUUUGUGGAAGAGGAGUGAUCGCGUUAGCGCGGCCCUCCG